GCAUGCGUGGCCGAGCAGCAAAAGCACUUGACUGUAAAUCAAGCGCCCCCGGAGGGGCUUCGUAGGUGCGAGUCCUACCGCAUGCG
This 86-nucleotide transfer RNA is filed under the name Pyrinomonadaceae bacterium. Its description in RNAcentral is "tRNA-Tyr". It matches the Rfam family "tRNA". From Rfam's summary of the family: Transfer RNA (tRNA) molecules are approximately 80 nucleotides in length. Their secondary structure includes four short double-helical elements and three loops (D, anti-codon, and T loops). Further hydrogen bonds mediate the characteristic L-shaped molecular structure. tRNAs have two regions of fundamental functional importance: the anti-codon, which is responsible for specific mRNA codon recognition, and the 3' end, to which the tRNAs corresponding amino acid is attached (by aminoacyl-tRNA synthetases). tRNAs cope with the degeneracy of the genetic code in two manners: having more than one tRNA (with a specific anti-codon) for a particular amino acid; and 'wobble' base-pairing, i.e. permitting non-standard base-pairing at the 3rd anti-codon position. The record is from RNAcentral. Lineage: Bacteria; Pseudomonadati; Acidobacteriota; Blastocatellia; Blastocatellales; Pyrinomonadaceae.